CUGUAUCGCCAUGCAACCUUGAACACAACUGAUCUCAUCUGAUUUUGGAAGCUUAGCAGGGUCAAGCAUAGUUAGUACUUGGGUGGGAGACCAUCAGUAGGAAAUCAUAGGCAUCUCCAGG
Molecule: ribosomal RNA, 121 nt
Filed under: Pogona vitticeps (central bearded dragon)
Lineage: Eukaryota; Metazoa; Chordata; Lepidosauria; Squamata; Agamidae
Source: RNAcentral